RNAcentral lists this transfer RNA (67 nucleotides) under Marmota monax (woodchuck). RNAcentral's name for it is "tRNA.Ala". The record is from RNAcentral. Lineage: Eukaryota; Metazoa; Chordata; Mammalia; Rodentia; Sciuridae.
GGUUGUGGCUCAGUGGUAGGGUGCUUGCCUAGCAUACAUGAGGCACUGGGUUCCAUCCUCAGCACCA